RNAcentral lists this long non-coding RNA (1243 nucleotides) under Helianthus annuus (common sunflower). Lineage: Eukaryota; Viridiplantae; Streptophyta; Magnoliopsida; Asterales; Asteraceae. The record is from RNAcentral.
GCUAACCAAUUCUUUGAAGACUAACAUCAUCUGUGGGGGAUUGAGAAGCAUGUUAGUGAACCCACAAGAGAUCUAAUAUGGUGUUGCUGGAGCUGACUUUAUGGUUGGCCUCACUAGGUCUUCACAAAUCAAGCUGAAGAAGAUGUGUAGUAGUUUUCAGAGACAACUCAAGGCUAUGCUUCGCAAGAACUGGCUUCUCAAAAUUCAUCAUCCGUACAUCACUCUCGCAUAGGUUAUUCCAUUGAUCAUUGUUCAAUUUUCAUUUUUGUAGAUUCAAAGGCUCAAUUUCACUGUUUAAUUUGUGUAAUUUGAAUUUGAUCACAUACCUAUGCUACCUCAUGGUUAACAAUGCAAGAAGAAUAGGGCUGAAAUGGAGAGACAAAGAUCAAUGGAGCUUGGAUGGUAGACUGAAGACAUUAUAUAUAAUUGAUUUGAAGUCUUGGCCAAUCAUUCAUUAAUAGAUGGAAUGAAUUUGUCUAUUGGUAAUACUUUGAUUGAUAUGUAUGAUGGAUUCUAUACACCUGAUAAAAGCACGCCAGGUGUUGGAUGCUAUGCCAAAGAGACAUUCUUUUUUAUUGAUCAGUCUAUAAGCUUUCAGUUUUAUAUCUACUAGCAUACUCUUCUGUGAUGAUGAAUCAUUUGAGUAUAUACAGUCAAGGAAAUGUGCAAAAUUUUAAUUAUUCGUUUCUUUUGAGUAUAUAUAAUUAUGAUAUUUGUUGAUUAUUUAGGAGUUUAGUGGAAAAGUGAAAGUUAUAAGGUGGAUCUUGUGGGCACAUGUCACACCACAUAAGAGUAUUAUCAAAACUUAUUGCAUAUGUCUCAUUACCCAGGGCAUGUGUAACACCCGGUUUAGCGGGUGUUAAUCUCUUUGUAUUUGUAUGGCUUAGUUAAAUAUGUAUCAGUGGUUAUAAUCAUAAUUUGAGAUAUUGUGAUGAUAUGUUAGUUAAAGGUGACAUAUAUUUAAUGUAUAUAUGUAUUAUUACUUCAUAGUUCAUAGUAAUUAAGAAAUAUGUAAACUGAUUUUUUCUUUAUAAUUAAAUACACUGAUAACAUAUAUUGGAUGAUUUUGUGUGUUGAUAUCACAUCUCCCACAUACACUUCACUUUUUUAGUCGAUUCUAAUUCAUUGUGCGAUUUGAUGAAGAUUGAUGCUUCGCAGUGUUCUGGUAAGAAAUUUAUCAUAGGGCUUUUGUUUGCUUUGGCGUGCGACUUUUUUUUUGCUCUGCUUCGUAGGUUGUUGUUUG